RNAcentral lists this transfer RNA (66 nucleotides) under uncultured Prochlorococcus sp. It matches the Rfam family "tRNA". Rfam says of the family: Transfer RNA (tRNA) molecules are approximately 80 nucleotides in length. Their secondary structure includes four short double-helical elements and three loops (D, anti-codon, and T loops). The record is from RNAcentral. RNAcentral also lists the same sequence under 1 other name. Lineage: Bacteria; Bacillati; Cyanobacteriota; Cyanophyceae; Synechococcales; Prochlorococcaceae.
GGCUUAGCUCAGUGGUAGAGCAGCGCUUUUGUAAAGCGAAGGUCAUCGGUUCAAAUCCGUUAGCCG